AUAAUGUAUAACAUGAGUAGGUAAGGGAAAUUAAUGAUGUCAUAGGAAGGAUGUGAUUGUUCUUUUUUGUAUAGGAAUUUUCAAUUUUGGUAAUUUUUUUAUGUUUCUUACUAAUCUUUUAUUUUUUUUAAAGUUGAAAGUAGAGUAUUCUGGAAAUAUUUAAGAAUAAUAUAGAGAACUUGAGCAACGUUUACCAAUGACUCAUAUUUUGUUAAGUUAAAAAAAUGGUCUCCUAGAAGUAUUAAUAAUUUUCUUAUCUUUAAGGCUUAUGCAUAGUUGCCCAAGCAUAAAGCUUUUAGGAGUGCCUUGGGGACCUGAAGGGCUCCCCCCCCAUCCCCCUUUCUCUAUCUUCUUUUAAGUUUUACUAUCAAAUAGUACUAUCAAUGUCAAUAAAACAGUUACAAAUGCAUAAAAUAGGUUAAUA
This 424-nucleotide unclassified non-coding RNA is filed under the name Hevea brasiliensis (rubber tree). Lineage: Eukaryota; Viridiplantae; Streptophyta; Magnoliopsida; Malpighiales; Euphorbiaceae. The record is from RNAcentral.